AGCUCCAAUAGCGUAUAUUUAAGUUGUUGCAGUUAAAAAGCUCGUAGUUGGAUUUUGGUUAAGAGGGCGCGGUCGGCCGUUUGGUCUGUACUGCGUUGUCUUGACUUCCUGAUGAGGACAUGCUCUUGGUUAACGCUGAGACAUGGAGUCAUCGUGGUUACUUUGAAAAAAUUAGAGUGUUCAAAGCGGGCUUACGCUUGAAUAUAUUAGCAUGGAAUAACACUAUAGGACUCCUGUCCUAUCUCGUUGGUCUCGGGAUGGGAGUAAUGAUUAAGAGGAACAGUUGGGGGCAUUCGUAUUUCAUUGUCAGAGGUGAAAUUCUUGGAUUUAUGAAAGACGAACUUCUGCGAAAGCAUUUGCCAAGGAUGUUUUCAUUA
This 377-nucleotide ribosomal RNA is filed under the name Bathycoccus sp. RNAcentral describes it as "partial small subunit ribosomal RNA". It matches the Rfam family "Eukaryotic small subunit ribosomal RNA", at positions 587 to 975 of the family's 1831-position model. The record is from RNAcentral. RNAcentral also lists the same sequence under 3 other names. Lineage: Eukaryota; Viridiplantae; Chlorophyta; Mamiellophyceae; Mamiellales; Bathycoccaceae.